Molecule: ribosomal RNA, 1669 nt
Filed under: Mycetocola zhadangensis
Lineage: Bacteria; Bacillati; Actinomycetota; Actinomycetes; Micrococcales; Microbacteriaceae
Description: bacterial LSU rRNA
Rfam family: Bacterial large subunit ribosomal RNA
Source: RNAcentral
AGUCGGGACCUAAGGCGAGGCCGACAGGCGUAGUCGAUGGACAACGGGUUGAUAUUCCCGUACUGACGAAGAACCGCCCAAGCUAAUCCAGUGAUGCUAAGAGUCUGAAUCCCACUGAUUGAUCCCUUCGGGGUGAGACGGUGGGCCUAGCGCUCGACCCUAUGCUGGUGCGGUUAGCGUAUUAACAGGUGUGACGCAGGAAGGUAGUCGGUCCUGGGCGAUGGUUGUCCCAGGCCAAGGUUGUAGGCCGAGAGAUAGGCAAAUCCGUCUCUCAUAUAAGGCUGAGAACUGAAGGGGAGCCCGCAAGGGCAAGAUCCGAUGAUCCUAUGCUGCCAAGAAAAGCAUCGGCGCGAGGUUCAAGUCACCCGUACCCCAAACCGACUCAGGUGGUCAGGUAGAGAAUACCAAGGAGAUCGAGAGAAUCGUGGUUAAGGAACUCGGCAAAAUGCCCCCGUAACUUCGGGAGAAGGGGGGCCUGACACGUCAACGGAUUCACUCCGGGAAGCGUGGUAGGGCCGCAGAGACCAGUGGGAAGCGACUGUUUACUAAAAACACAGGUCCGUGCCAAGUCGCAAGACGAUGUAUACGGACUGACGCCUGCCCGGUGCUGGAAGGUUAAGAGGAACGGUUAGCCGCAAGGCGAAGCUGAGAAUUUAAGCCCCAGUAAACGGCGGUGGUAACUAUAACCAUCCUAAGGUAGCGAAAUUCCUUGUCGGGUAAGUUCCGACCUGCACGAAUGGCGUAACGACUUCCCAGCUGUCUCAACCGCGAACUCGGCGAAAUUGCACUACGAGUAAAGAUGCUCGUUACGCGCAGCAGGACGGAAAGACCCCGUGACCUUUACUACAGCUUGGUAUUGGUGUUCGGUGUGGCUUGUGUAGGAUAGGUGGGAGACUGUGAAGCUGGCACGCUAGUGUCGGUGGAGUCAUUGUUGAAAUACCACUCUGGUCAUAUUGGAUAUCUAACUUCGAACCGUAAUCCGGUUCAGGGACAGUGCCUGGUGGGUAGUUUAACUGGGGCGGUUGCCUCCUAAAAAGUAACGGAGGCGCCCAAAGGUUCCCUCAAUCUGGUUGGCAAUCAGAUGUCGAGUGUAAGUGCACAAGGGAGCUUGACUGUGAGACUGACAAGUCGAGCAGGGACGAAAGUCGGGACUAGUGAUCCGGCAGUGGCUUGUGGAAGCGCUGUCGCUCAACGGAUAAAAGGUACCUCGGGGAUAACAGGCUGAUCUUGCCCAAGAGUCCAUAUCGACGGCAUGGUUUGGCACCUCGAUGUCGGCUCGUCGCAUCCUGGGGCUGGAGUAGGUCCCAAGGGUUGGGCUGUUCGCCCAUUAAAGCGGUACGCGAGCUGGGUUUAGAACGUCGUGAGACAGUUCGGUCCCUAUCCGCUGCGCGCGCAGGAAAUUUGAGAGGAUCUGACCCUAGUACGAGAGGACCGGGUUGGACGAACCUCUGGUGUGUCAGUUGUUCCGCCAGGAGCACCGCUGAUUAGCUACGUUCGGGAUGGAUAACCGCUGAAAGCAUCUAAGCGGGAAGCCGGCCUCAAGAUGAGAUUUCCAUGCCUUCGGGCGAGAGGCUCCCAGCUAGACUACUGGGUUGAUAGGCCGGAUGUGGAAGAGAGGACUAAAGACUCUCGGAGCUGACCGGUACUAAUAAGCCGAUAACUUACCAAU